GGAAUAUUGGACAAUGGGCGCAAGCCUGAUCCAGCCAUGCCGCGUGCAGGAUGACGGUCCUAUGGAUUGUAAACUGCUUUUAUACAGGAAGAAACACUGGUUCGUGAACCAGCUUGACGGUACUGUAAGAAUAAGGAUCGGCUAACUCCGUGCCAGCAGCCGCGGUAAUACGGAGGAUCCAAGCGUUAUCCGGAAUCAUUGGGUUUAAAGGGUCCGUAGGCGGUUUAAUAAGUCAGUGGUGAAAGCCCAUCGCUCAACGGUGGAACGGCCAUUGAUACUGUUAAACUUGAAUUAUUAGGAAGUAACUAGAAUAUGUAGUGUAGCGGUGAAAUGCUUAGAGAUUACAUGGGAUACCAAUUGCGAAGGCAGGUUACUACUAAUGGAUUGACGCUCAGGUGCGAAAGCGUGGGGAGCAAACAGGAUUAGAUACCCUUG
This 435-nucleotide ribosomal RNA is filed under the name uncultured Flavobacterium sp. RNAcentral's name for it is "bacterial SSU rRNA". It matches the Rfam family "Bacterial small subunit ribosomal RNA", at positions 358 to 790 of the family's 1533-position model. The record is from RNAcentral. Lineage: Bacteria; Pseudomonadati; Bacteroidota; Flavobacteriia; Flavobacteriales; Flavobacteriaceae.